Molecule: ribosomal RNA, 252 nt
Filed under: uncultured bacterium
Lineage: Bacteria
Description: partial 16S ribosomal RNA
Rfam family: Bacterial small subunit ribosomal RNA
Source: RNAcentral
UACGUAGGUGGCAAGCGUUGUCCGGAAUUAUUGGGCGUAAAGCGCGCGCAGGUGGUUUCUUAAGUCUGAUGUGAAAGCCCACGGCUCAACCGUGGAGGGUCAUUGAAACUGGGGAACUUGAGUGCAGGAGAGAAGAGUGGAAUUCCACGUGUAGCGGUGAAAUGCGUAGAGAUGUGGAGGAACACCAGUGGCGAAGGCGACUCUUUGGCCUGUAACUGACACUGAGGCGCGAAAGCGUGGGGAGCAAACAGG